This 2650-nucleotide ribosomal RNA is filed under the name Badhamia polycephala. Its description in RNAcentral is "bacterial LSU rRNA". It matches the Rfam family "Bacterial large subunit ribosomal RNA". The record is from RNAcentral. Lineage: Eukaryota; Evosea; Eumycetozoa; Physariida; Physaraceae.
AUAAAAAUUCUUGACGGAUAUAUAGAUUUUUUAUGUAGGCUAUUCAAUACAAUCUUAUAGGAGAUAUUACAUUUAACAUAAGAUCGCCUUUUUGGUAACAAAAAAAAUUAAAAAUUUUAAAUAACAUAAUGAAUUGAAACAUCUCAGUAAUUAUGGAUUAUAAACAAACCUGAAUUUUAUUAGUAGUGGUGAGCGAACAUAAAAUAUUUUAAUAUUCUUAACAAAUAAAACUAUUAUAAUAGUGUGUCAGAAGUUAAAACCUUGUAAUUUGUUAAUAUAUUACUAGAAGGUAUAUGGAAGGCUUUGAUCUGUAAUUAGAUUGGAGUACCACCUUCAAUAUUAAACACAUAAAAAAAUCGAUAGCGAAAAAGUACCGUGAGGGAACUAUGAAAAGCACUCGAUCUAAAGAGGUUGAAAUAGAUCUUGAAAUCAAGAAUUUAAAAGCAUUUGAUGUUUUUCAAGGAAAAAUACCAAAGUACCUUUUGUAUCAUGGAUCAACGAGAUAAAUGAAAAAGCAAGCUUAUAUAUUAUAUAGCAUAGCGAAAGCAAAUUUUAAAUCGUUUGAGUUUUUUCAUUUAAACCCGAAACCUAGUGAUCUAAUCAUGAGCAGAUUGAAAUGAGUUAACAACUUUUGGAGGAUCGAACCCUUUUCUGUUGCAUCAGAAUGGGAUGACUUGUGAUUAGGGGUGAAAGGCUAAUCAAACUAGGAGAUAGCUGGUUUUCUGCGAAAUGUAUUUAGGUACCGUGAUAGUUUUGUUUCCUGGUCGUAAAGCAAGAAGCGGGAUAUAAAAGCUUUUAAUCAAGCUACUCAUUCAAACUCUAAAGACAGGGAAAUUUAUCUAUUAUACAGACUUUGGGUGCUAAGGUCCUUGGUCUAAAGGAGAAGAGUCCUCACACUCAGCUAAGGACCGCAAUAAAACUUAAGUCAAAGAUAUCUUAUUACAAAGACAAAACGGAUGUAGGCUUUCAAGCAGCCAUCUUUUAAAGAAAGCGUUACAGCUCACGUUUCAAGUACAAGAUAUUACAAAUAAAGGAUUUUUCGUUUUAUCCAAAGCUAGUGAAUUUUAUUUUGAUAGCAGAAUCCUUAGUUUUUAAUGGAUAAUUUAGUAAUAUUUUAUUUUAAAUCUAAGUGAAAAAUGUUGAUAUCAGUAGUUUUUAUAACGAUUAUGUUAUCGCCAAAGUUUAAAGGUUUCCUUAUCCAUUCUUUAAAGAUAAGGGUUAUACGUCCUCUCAUGUUUUAGCGAAAGCAACAACAAAGGAGUUUGAUGAUUAAAAAUCAUUUGUUUUAAUAUUGUGACAAAAAUUUAAAAACUAAUUCUUACAUAUAAAGCGGACUAGUUUUCAUAUUUUUCCAGAAAAAGCAGUUAAAAUAAAACGUACUAAAACCGACACUGGUAAACUAGUAAAUUACUGCGGCGAUGGAUUAACUAUACUAAAGGAACUCGGCAAAUUCAAUCUGUAACUUUUGGAGAAAGAUUAUCAUAAUUUUCCUUGUUUUUAUAACAAGCGUAAAUACCAUAAGAGUUAGAGUAUCAAAGAAAUUAUAUGAUAUAAAGCACAGUAUUUUCUUUCAUUUUCUUUAUAGAAAAUUACUCGUGAAAUCUUAUGUGUGAUGGCACAGAAUAGAGGGUAGCGACUGUUUAUUAAAAACACAGGACUCUGCUAAGUAUAAAUAUGAUGUAUAGGGUCUGAGACCUGCCCGGUGUCAGUAGGUAAACGAGACUGAUUAUCUUUAAGUCUCUUUCAGAUAAUUUAAUUUGUUAGUCUCUUAAAUCACUGGUAAACGGCGGCUGUAACUAUGACGGUCCUAAGGUAGCGAAAUUCCUUGUCGGGUAAGUUCCGACGUGCACGAAUGGUGUAACGACUUCCCUACUGUCUCUAGUGUAGAUCCAAUGAAAUUGGAAUUAUUGUGAAGAUACGAUAUAGAAAUAGCCAGACGGAAAGACCCUGUGAACCUUUACUAUAUGCUUUUAUUUUUUAUUCUUGGGGUAAUAUUAAGUUUAUUAUGCAAGCUUAUCGAAAUAUUCAUUUUCAUGAUAUUUAGGCGUUCCUGCGAAACAUCUUAUUACUAUGGUCUAAAAAUUUUUAAUGAAAGCUGGUUAGUUUGACUGGGGCGGUAGCCUCCCAAAUCGUAACGGAGUGCGUACAAAAGAUUUGUUACGUUUAGAUUUAUCUACACGAUAGCGCAAGGGCUAAUACUUGUCUGACUGUUUGAAUGACAAUUCAUUCAGGGAUUUAUUUUUAAAUCGGUCCUAGUAAUCCAAUCUUAACCUGUGGGCGUAGGAUUGCCAACGAAUAAAAGGUACUCCGGGGAUAACAGGCUGAUAAUUCCUUAGAGUACCUAUCGACGGAAUUGUUUGGCACCUCGAUGUCGGCUCAUCACAUCCUGAGACUGAAAAGGGCCUCAAGGGUUCGGUUGUUCACCGAUUAAUAGUGGUACGUGAGCUGGGUUUAGAACGUCGUGAGACAGUUCGGUCCCUAUCUACUAUUUCAUAAGACGUAAAAGUUGUUCUGUCUAGUACGAAAGGACUGGUGGAACGAUUCCUCUGGUUUUUGAGCUGUUUGCGCACGCUCAUUCGCUACGAAUCUUUUAUUAAUCGCUGAAAGCAUCUAAGCGAGAAAUAAUACUUUAAGUCUUUUUAACCGUUGU